UAAUUAUUAAAACUCUAAAAUAAAUCCUACUGUAAAAUUAUUUUUUAGAAAUCUUUUACAAAACUAAAAUAAUUAUGUCACGUUUUGCAACCGAAAACGUAGAAGUUUUCAUUAACGACUUUCUCAAAGAGGAUCUCAAGCAUUUGGAACAGUACAUCAACGUUUACAAUGAGGAAAUUAUGGAAUAUAUACAACUCAAAAACACCAUCGAAACUAUGCGUGAUAAUUUGGAUGAGGGUUAUAAAACGCAAAUGAAUAUUGGUGGUAAUAUUUUUAUGGAAGCCAAGGUUAACGAUUUAAAUACAAUUCUAGUAGACGUUGGCAAAGGUGUCUUUAUACAAUUUACAUUGGAAGAGGCUUUAAAAUUUGCAGACUUUAAAAUAAAAAUUUUAAAUAAGGAAUGUGAUGUACUGCGGCAGGAGAGUAUUAAGAAGAAGUCAGAAAUUAAAUUGGCUUUGAUGUACAUAGCGGAAAAGGAACAGUUGGCGGAGAAGACGAAAGAUUAGUGAUGAAACUGAUAUGUGUCUUGUCAUUUUCCUGUCUUCUUAUUGUUGGAUUUAGUUUAGUCUUUUCAUUUGAAAGUGUAUGCCAAAGGAUAACGGUAAUCUAACCGCAAUCAUUUGCACUACUAACAAAAUUUCGUAAACCAUACGAGAUCGUUUAAAAAUGUCUCAACAUGAUCCCAAUGGUUUGUUGUUUAAAAAAAUAUUAUAUGAGGUCAGUUUAAAUAGCAACUUACUGAUCGUCUUAUUCUGUGGGGGAGAAUUUCUUUAACAAACUAUUUCUUCAAUAUUUGUAGUACAAAUACUAAUACAAUUGCAUGUGGUUGAUAUUUACAAAUUGUCUAAACCACUACGACUAACAAUAACCAAACGACUAUCAUGUUUAAAUAAACUAUUCUUUAAACUGAGUACAGACCAGACAAAGAAUGUUGUAAUUAAAAGCAAUUAAUCCAUGAUUAUUUCAAUCAAUAGUAUAGUUAAUGAACAAUUCUAUAGUACAGUCAAUAAACUAAACGACACACUUGUUAAUGUACAAAUUCAUAGUGUAAUCCAUAGAAUACCUUUAAGCUAAUAUCACUUAAAAUUGAAAUUUCCUUUUUAAUAGAUCUUUAAGGACUUAAUACUUUUAAAGGCCUCCUUUAAUAGUGAUAACAAACUUGUUAGUUUUAACUAACUUGUAUCUGACAAUAAGUGGUUUUAUAACUUAAUCAUUAUCAACAUCAUCGUAUGUUUACUUCAAUCACACUCGUACAUAUUCCAUUCAAAAAAAGUUGCAGUAAACAAUAACGAAACAAAAGUAAACGUAGUAUCUAGCUUUUACAAAACUUUUUUACAGAAAAAAAAAGAUGCCAGAAACAUUUCUACUAAACAUGUCCAUUGGUGGGUUUGUGUUGUUUUCAUUAUAUGGUUAGUAUUUGUCUGUUAGUAAUUUCAUUGUUCGAAUUGUUUAAAGUUUUCUUUCUACAUUAGACACUUAGUACCUGAGCAAUUGUAUAUUUUGUUUCAUGUUUGUUACAAUUAUUGAAACAUGUUUUAUAUUAAGUAUUUUUAUAUUUGGACGAUUUAAAAAAUUUAAACUAAAGGUUUGUUUUGGAUAGAAAUUUUACUUAACGUAAAAAACUAUCAAGUUAAGAGUUUAUCCAAAGGAAGUAUAAAGAUUAAGUUCGAAUUUUUACAAAGAAAUAGUACCCAUUUAGAGAAAUCAAUACAACUUAAUAACAUAAUAAUUACAUUUCUUCAAUUACAUUAAAUUCCAUUAAAAGUUCACACUUCUAAGACAAUAUAAAACACAUUGUCUGUCAAACUUGCAUGACAGUAGUAGCACCGUCAUACAUGUACAUACAUGUAAUCACUUCUGACAACUAUUUUAAACAAAUUAAUUUAAACAAAACAAUAUUAAAUGCAAAAACAAUUUAUCAAACAAUACAAAAUGCAUUUGUAUACAUACUUUAAUUCUGCUCGUGUAUAAAAAAAAAAAACAUUUUAUUGUAAUGUUUGCUUUAAACAAUACAUUAUUAAAAGAUUAGAAAAUAUAUUAGAAUUUUUUUUAAAUAAACCAAACAACAAUCUCUUUCCUCACCCCUUCAAUCUAAAUACUACAAUACCACCUCAACACUCAGUCUAUCCCUAUCAAAAGCCUAUUUACGUACAAUUAAAAAAAAAUAAAUGCAAAACUUAUAUCAUGAGUAUGAGUAUCAUUUUAAAUGUCAUUACAUAUAACGCUUUACAUGUCGAGACCCUUCUCUAAAGGCUUUGAGUGAAAAAUAUAAAAUAUAAUAAUAACAUUUUUUUACAACAAAGUUUGUACGUCCGUCAUGUUCGACACCCUACAAGAGUUUGAAAGGAAAAGCGAAUUUUAAAUUUCUAACUUAAAGACUAGUCUACUUACAAUGAACUAGUGUAAGGACUAGUCUAUGGGCUACUGCAUAUAGAGUAAUGUAUGGACUAGUCUAUAGAUUAAUCUACUGACUAGUAUCUUUUCUAGUCUAGUGACUAUGGAUUAGAUUAUAGAAUAGUGUAAGAACAAGUGUAUGAGAAAAUAUAUGAACUAAUCUACUUUAUAGUCUUUGUCCUAGUCCAGUGAGAGUAUGGAGACUAGUAUUAUGAUUAGUUUAUGGACCUGGCUCAUGAUUAGUAUAUGAACUAGUCUGUUGACUAGUAUAUGGACUGGUCUAUGAACUAGUAUAUGGACUGGUCUAUGAACUAGUGUCCGGACUAGUACAUGAACUAAUGACUAAACUAGUCUAUGGUACGAACUAGUAUAUAGACUAGAUUAUAAUAAACUAAACAACAGACAAUAUAUUAAAAAAUGGACUAUAGUAUAGACCACAUACUAGACUACAAACUAGACUACAGACUCGACUAUA
Molecule: unclassified non-coding RNA, 2869 nt
Filed under: Lucilia cuprina (Australian sheep blowfly)
Lineage: Eukaryota; Metazoa; Arthropoda; Insecta; Diptera; Calliphoridae
Description: protein UXT, transcript variant X1
Source: RNAcentral